UACGGGGGGGGCAAGCGUUGUUCGGAAUUACUGGGCGUAAAGGGCGCGUAGGCGGUUCGCUAAGUCGGAUGUGAAAACUCUGGGCUCAACCCAGAGCCUGCAUCCGAAACUGGCGGGCUAGAGUUCUGGAGGGGGUAGCGGAAUUCCUGGUGUAGCGGUGAAAUGCGUAGAUAUCGGAAGGAACACCAGUGGCGAAGGCGACUACCUGGAUUCAUACUGACACUGAGGCACGAAAGCGUGGGGAGCAAACAGG
Molecule: ribosomal RNA, 253 nt
Filed under: uncultured bacterium
Lineage: Bacteria
Description: partial 16S ribosomal RNA
Rfam family: Bacterial small subunit ribosomal RNA
Source: RNAcentral